GGGUGUAUAGCUCAGUGGUAGAGUGCAUGCCCGGCAUGCAUGAGGCCUCAGGCUCAAUUCUCAGUAUCUCCU
This 72-nucleotide transfer RNA is filed under the name Camelus bactrianus (Bactrian camel). It matches the Rfam family "tRNA". Rfam says of the family: Transfer RNA (tRNA) molecules are approximately 80 nucleotides in length. Their secondary structure includes four short double-helical elements and three loops (D, anti-codon, and T loops). Further hydrogen bonds mediate the characteristic L-shaped molecular structure. tRNAs have two regions of fundamental functional importance: the anti-codon, which is responsible for specific mRNA codon recognition, and the 3' end, to which the tRNAs corresponding amino acid is attached (by aminoacyl-tRNA synthetases). tRNAs cope with the degeneracy of the genetic code in two manners: having more than one tRNA (with a specific anti-codon) for a particular amino acid; and 'wobble' base-pairing, i.e. permitting non-standard base-pairing at the 3rd anti-codon position. Lineage: Eukaryota; Metazoa; Chordata; Mammalia; Artiodactyla; Camelidae. The record is from Rfam by way of RNAcentral. RNAcentral also lists the same sequence under 2 other names.